Molecule: long non-coding RNA, 356 nt
Filed under: Fukomys damarensis (Damara mole-rat)
Lineage: Eukaryota; Metazoa; Chordata; Mammalia; Rodentia; Bathyergidae
Description: lncRNA (ENSFDAG00000022542.1)
Source: RNAcentral
CUUCCAAACUGUGACUUAAAACAGUGUGGCUCCGACUGGCAAUACAGGGGAUGCCUCUGUUGCUCUGCAAUUUUGGUGCAGUACUGACUUUGACUGCUGCUUUCUGAGAAAAUGAGACGAAAGAAGGAAAAGAGGUGGUCUUCCAAAAUGAUGGGAUAAACACAGCACAACAAGUACAUCUGAUCAUCCACAGACUUACCUGAGUAAUAAUCAGACUUUUCCAGCCCAUACCUUUGCCUAUUGGAAAAUUCAAUUUCUACUUUGGAGAGAAAAAUAUCAGGGUUGCUCAGAUCCGGUUAUGUUCUACUCAUCAUCUUCCAUACAUACUUUCCACACAACCAUAAAAACCUUAUCCA